Molecule: ribosomal RNA, 253 nt
Filed under: uncultured bacterium
Lineage: Bacteria
Description: partial 16S ribosomal RNA
Rfam family: Bacterial small subunit ribosomal RNA
Source: RNAcentral
UACGUAGGUGGCGAGCGUUGUCCGGAUUUAUUGGGUUUAAAGGGUGCGUAGGCGGCCCUGUAAGUCAGUGGUGAAAUAUCGCAGCUCAACUGUGAGGGUGCCAUUGAUACUGCAGGGCUUGAGUGAAUUUGAAGUAGGCGGAAUUGACGGUGUAGCGGUGAAAUGCUUAGAUAUCGUCAAGAACACCGAUAGUGAAGACAGCUUACUAAGCUUCAACUGACGCUGAUGCACGAAAGUGUGGGGAUCAAACAGG